This 397-nucleotide ribosomal RNA is filed under the name uncultured bacterium. RNAcentral describes it as "partial 16S ribosomal RNA". It matches the Rfam family "Bacterial small subunit ribosomal RNA", at positions 523 to 918 of the family's 1533-position model. The record is from RNAcentral.
CUACGUAGGGGGCGAGCGUUGUCCGGAAUGAUUGGGCGUAAAGGGCGCGUAGGCGGCCCGGUAAGUCUGGAGUGAAAGUCCUGUUUUUAAGAUGGGAAUUGCUUUGGAUACUGUCGGGCUUGAGUGCAGGAGAGGUAAGUGGAAUUCCCAGUGUAGCGGUGAAAUGCGUAGAGAUUGGGAGGAACACCAGUGGCGAAGGCGACUUACUGGACUGUAACUGACGCUGAGGCGCGAAAGUGUGGGGAGCAAACAGGAUUAGAUACCCUGGUAGUCCACACUGUAAACGAUGAAUGCUAGGUGUAAGAGGUAUCGACCCCUUUUGUGCCGGAGUCAACACAAUAAGCAUUCCGCCUGGGGAGUACGGCCGCAAGGUUGAAACUCAAAUGAAUUGACGGGG